This 4104-nucleotide long non-coding RNA is filed under the name Gallus gallus (chicken). Lineage: Eukaryota; Metazoa; Chordata; Aves; Galliformes; Phasianidae. The record is from RNAcentral.
CUGGAGCAGGGCCAGAGCUGCAGCCCAUGAAGAGCAGCCUGCAGUGGAGCAGCAGGGCUGGGGGAGCUGCUGAAGGGUGGGCCUCGUGAUACAGAGCUGCGUUGGAGCAGUGCCUGUAGAACUGCAGCCUGUAGGAAGCCUACACAGGAUCAGAGUGGGAAGGACAGCAUCCCAUGGGAGGGACCCCAGCUGGAGCAGGAGCAGCGUGUGACCAUGGAAGAGCAGCAGAGAUGAGGUGAUAUGAACUGACCACAGCCCCCAUUCUCCUGCGUUGCUUGGCGGGGGAGGUUUGAAGUUGACCCUGGGAAGAAAAGGGCUGAGGGGAAGGUGGUUUUAGUAUGCUUUCAGCUCUCACUGCUCUAGUUGAUUAUUAAUUGGCAAUAAACAGUAAGCCUUCCCCAACUUGAGUCUGUUUUCACCUUGAUGGUAACUGGUUGAGUGAUCUCCCUGGCCCUAUCCCUACCCACAAGCUUUUUUCUAACUUUCCAUCUUGCUGAGGAGAGGGAGGCAUGGUGAGCACCUGGACCAGCCGAGAUCAACUCACCAUUCUUCUACGUGAAUGAACUGUAAUUACAAAUGCCGUGUUUAUGCUCAUUUCACUGCAGGUUGGAAAAGCACAUCCCAUAAUUUUCUAAGUGUGAUACUUUAAAAAUAUCAGAACUCCAAUGCGUGUUUCUCCUGAUUAUGUGCUAUCAACAACAGUCCAUCAAAUAAAAUCCUCCACAUUUCAACCAGCAUCUCUACAGCUGUUUUGACAGAUGUCUAAAUGUCUCCUACUAACAAAUGCAACUAGGUAGGGCAGUUGACACUAUAGAGCUUAAAUAUGCCUACAUACAAGAUGACGGCUAACCCAUCUUUCUACAAGGUUCUCCAGUUCUGCAAAGUGUUAUAUUAAGCAGGCUGGGAAAUACAGCAAAUGGAAGUUGGUAUCAGCAAUCCUGGCAUUUUGUGUACGUUCAAUUACCAUCCAGCUCUGGAAAACAGGACUUCUAUGGUGCACACUUAUUUUCUGCAUGUCUAUAAUAUGCAAACUGCAGGCUGAUCUACUACAGUAAUAAAAGCAAACUGAAAAGGUUUUGUACGUUGGCCAAAGAGAGGAAGAUGCUCCUCCAAUGAAGCAGGAGGUGGGGUUUUAUUAGCUGACAAUACAGCACUUGGAACUGUGGAGUAAGGAACUCUGCUUUUGCAAGGUAUGCAUUUUACAGAUGUUAAGCAGUUUUUGAACGAACGUGCUUUGAUUAAUUGGAACAGUAGGGAUUUUUUGCUUUCAACAACUCUGGUGAUUCUAUUUUUCCUCCCUCCUCUAUGCAGGUUUUCCAGCUGUACAAUUCAUUUUUAAGGUCAGCUAACUCACUGGGAAGAUUAGACUUGGACUCUGACAAAAGGUGAGUGAUGCUGACCUUUAAUACAAGUUACAAAGCUCACUUAAAAAAUGUAAAUGUGGUGGAACCUUACUCUGAAUAUGUAUAACGCGUGAUUUUUGUCUGAAAGGUUAUUAAGAUGAAAGUGUUUUUGUUGAGUCCGUAUGUCCAUUUUCAGCAUAUUUAUGUGUACGCAUUUCCGUCGGCUGUUUGAGGACUCCGUAAUAAAUGAGAAAGCUCCGAGAACGCUUUUGUCUUUCCUUCUGUAGGAAUGGCUGAGCAUCCAAACGCAUUAAUCAGCGAGAACAACAGCCCGGAUCUGUAAUUAUGAAAUGUCCUGCUUUGGCUGACACUAUAAUUGGAACAAACUCCACAAGCUGCCAGUUCAGACCUUAUUUGGUCUGAAUCACUCGUUGGAGUUUUCAGAUGUGAACUGUGAUUUCUAAAUAAUGUGACUUGUGAAGUAGAGAGAGGAAUACUUUAAAUUAUUGGUGUAUUCUGGAAAGUACUUAAAAGACAGCAAAUUCCUUCAUUUUGGAUUAGUUUUAGUUGUGUGUGAAGAGCCUCAUUUAUAAGCGUAAUUAAAUAACACUGAUUUCAAAAGUCAGUUUGGCUCUUGGAAUUUUCAGUGGAGCUCACCACAGGUUUCAAGCUAUUGUGGAUUUCAUCACCUUGGUACACGGGCUCUGCACAGGGCUGGAACAGAAGGAAUGGACAAAGUGUUCACCCAGAGCAGCAAUCUGCUCUUUUUGGUUCCAGUUCUGGUCUGUUAACAGGAAUUUGAGAAAACUGAGGCUAAAUCACAUACAUCGUGUAUGUGAAUCCACACAAGGCUCUUCUCGCCCACAUUUCCUAAAGGAUUGUGACGCUCGUUUAUAAAGAAACUAACUCAAAUGUAUGGCUCGCAUGGCUCCUUACUGCAAUCUGCUGAUGGGCUGUCUGAGCACACGGCUGUGCGGUAGCUUCUCACUGCAUGCUCCGUGAGUACGGCGGUGGCUGUAAUCACCCCUGGAUUAAGUGACGAGGCUGUUGGAGACACUCAUUAAAUCCAAGAAGUUGUAGCAGCAAAUCCAACAGAUGAAAGCUCAGGACACCAUUAACCUUUUAUUGAUGUUGUAGGCCUCUCAUAUUUUAUGGCAUCCUUCUUCAAAAGGAAGACUUAGCAUUAGCACUUCAAAUGAAAACUGUAGGAAUCUAAAAAUCUGCAAGAAGCCCUUCAAAUUCCUGGCACAGCUUUGCUUUCAAUCUUUUACAGAUUCUAAUGCAAAUCCCGUGCAGAACUGAUUUGAGAUAAUGCAAUAUUCUUUCCCAGACAGAGAAGCAGUUUUGGUAGUAUGGCUGCUGUUUUCUAAGGAUCUCUUUUUUCAUCUAUAGCCAUCAAAAUGUCACAGGAAGGUUACAGCGAUCGUUGCUGCUCUUCCAACAUGCAGCCAAAGUGAAUGGCAUGGAAAAAAACGAAAUAAAAAUUGAUGCCAUUUUGCUUGCAAAGUAGAAACGUGUCGGAUCAGAUAGAAAGUUUCAGCAAGCUGGGAAAGCGAAAACCCUUUUCUGUAUGGAUUUUAAUUACAAGGCACACAAGUUCUGAAUAGGCAUCGUGGUUCCUAAAUCUCAGAUCAUAUUUCUCUGCACAAACAAUAACCUCAGCAUUAAAAGAGCUCAUUGCCAAAAAAUGAGAAGUUAUCCUUCAGAACAAAGCUUCAAAGUUCAGUAAAAAAAAAAGUUUCAGAAUUUAUAGGGAUAAUAAAGUUUUAAAGGCAAUCAUGAAUUAGAGAUGGCCCCAAACCUUUAAGAGCAAGUUAAGAAGCAAAUACCUGCCAACUCAGAGCAAAACAAGGCCAGCAGGCCCCAUGUUUAUUAUACCAGCCAUUAACAGUAAAAGCUGAAGCUGGAUACAGACUUCCUUAAAGAUCAAGAUACCUGGCUGAGACAUAGCAUGACCAAAACAGCAGUGAGACAGCUGGGACUCAAGCAGAACUGGGGAAACAUCAGCAAAGGGAGAACUUCCCUUCAGUGUUUGCAGCAGCAGCAGCUGCUCGUGAGCAGUUAACCCCCCUCCCCCUUGUUUUCCUUACCAGCCUUAAGAAGCUGUUGAACUUGAACCUCAAUGAAAUGCAUCCUACUAAGAAUUGCUAAUAGAGGAAAUGUAGUGAAAUUCCAAUCCUGUGUCUGGAACCAUGGCACAAUGCAAUACUGAAAAGGGGAGCACAGUAAAUGUCUCUACUGCUGUUACCUAAGAUCAGACUUUCUGCAAACUGCGAUGAGACUGUUCUCACCCUCUAGUCUGUAUUCUGCCCAUGGUGUUUGGGCGGGUAUGGAAAUGGUAUGCAGAAUGAAUGAAUGAAUGAACGAAUGAACUCCAAUUUUCCCCCAGCAGGAACCAUGAAUGUGCAGACCGUUUCUUCCUGGUCGUGUAGAAGAUACGAAGGUACCCUGUGUUACACCAGGCACUGUUGUUAUCUGGGCACUCAAGGAGCAAAGCCAACCUCCCAGCAGAGGGAAUCUCAGCGUUGGGUCCUCUAGAGACAUUUUCACCAAUGCAUACACCCACAUAUCUGACCACAGCCACGUAUGCCACUGUCACCACAUCACCACAUCACCCUGCCGCUGGACAAAUCGGUUCUCUGCUCUGUGCUUAUUACAAGACAAGGGUGAGUACCUUCUGAUCUCUUCUGCAAGUCCCUGUCAGCUGCUUCCUCAGUCUGCUGGACCUAGGACAAGGGCUUCAGGCUGAGCUCACUAACCG